Molecule: ribosomal RNA, 253 nt
Filed under: Roseburia inulinivorans DSM 16841
Lineage: Bacteria; Bacillati; Bacillota; Clostridia; Lachnospirales; Lachnospiraceae
Description: partial 16S ribosomal RNA
Rfam family: Bacterial small subunit ribosomal RNA
Source: RNAcentral
UACGUAUGGUGCAAGCGUUAUCCGGAUUUACUGGGUGUAAAGGGAGCGCAGGCGGAAGGCUAAGUCUGAUGUGAAAGCCCAGGGCUCAACCCCGGUACUGCAUUGGAAACUGGUCAUCUAGAGUGUCGGAGGGGUAAGUGGAAUUCCUAGUGUAGCGGUGAAAUGCGUAGAUAUUAGGAGGAACACCAGUGGCGAAGGCGGCUUACUGGACGAUAACUGACGCUGAGGCUCGAAAGCGUGGGGAGCAAACAGG